CCUUAUUCAACUAAUUGAAGUAAUUGGGUAAGUGUAUUUUGGAAGACUGCAAAACAAAAGUACAUAUUUUAAAGAAGAAUGCUCCACACAGGAAGUACACGGGAAAAGAAGCAAAUCCAACACGAAAAAGACACAUGCAAAUACAAGUGAAUUGGCUUAGAGAAAGAAUUGUUACCAAGGUCCACUGUUGGAAAUACAUCUGAAAGAGAUAACCUUGGAAGCUGGUCACCUGAACACAGUGAGAAAAAGGGUGUGAGAAAGGAAGGACCUGAUCAUCCAUCAGAUGGAAUCCAGACGUGACAAUUAGAGUUAAUGAACCAUGACCCAAGAAGCAGUUUCUGCACUUUACAAUCCUACUUCAUGGCCUCAGUAAAACUUACAGGGCUUUUUUUUUUCCCACAGAACACAUCUGCUCCAAAUUCUAAAGGGAGAAACUGGUUUCAGAAGUUACAUUUGGUUUCCUCCCUACUUUUCAGUCAUGUAUGAGGUAAAUGUAAGAACUUUGUUAACUAAAAAUCAGAAGAUACAGCUUCUACGAUGAGACUACAUAGUAUUAUUAUAGUAGCUAUUUAAUUUAUAUUAAAAUUAAUGAACUGAUAAAGAUGACUGGAAAACACCAAGCAAAUAUUUUCAAAACAACCAGCAUAAUGGCUUCUAUGUUUAAAUACUGGUUUUGGCCUCAGAUAGCUAAGAGAAUGCCUCAAAGGGGGAAAAAAAAAAAAGUUGAUUAAUACCUAAGUCUCCUAUCAUUUCUUCACAGAGCAGGUAUAGCUAAUGAAGCAGUGCCUCUUUUUCCCCAAAGUCCAGAAGAUCUACUGAACUUCUAAUCCUGAGGUGGAAUUGAUCUUUCUUUCCCUACGAGCAAAGUAUUCCUGCAGUCAGAGCCUCUCAAUAGUUUCUCAGAAUCACAAAAAUUCAUCCAUUUGGUCUUUUGCUACUAUUUGGAAUGAAGGAUUGAAAUAGGGCCAAACAACUCUUGGUGGUUUUCUUCCCAUACCAGACGCACCUUUUCUUGGCCUCCUCCAAAGAUGUGUUACCAAAACCAUAACAAUUCACUAUGAAAUCUGCUACCUAAAUUACAAUUGCUUUUUGGUUACAGUAGUGAAUUCUAAAAAAGCUUUUCCAGCAGCCCUGGUCAGAAAUCCACAAAGGAUACCUAGUGCAGAGCAGGAAGAUCUCAAGAGUUUGGAGAUAUUGUUUCACAGUCAGCUUACACUCCAGUUCCCUCUUCUCACUGAGUUAGGAAGUGAUUGGUUGCAUCCUGCUUCUGGAGAAGACAAAGGUAUUUCAGCCAUUGGUACUCCAAACUCAAAGAAGACCAUUAUUAAGAAAUGAAAGUCCAACUUGGUCUUGUACAUGGAAAUGUCUGCAGUACUUCCAAGACUUCUUCAAGAGUCAAUGGGUCUCAUAGGAAUGGCUCACAGAGCUUUUUUUCUUACUGACACUGUCCUCAUACAUUCCAAUUUUUACAGUUAGUAUGGCGUUCUCUUCAGUGAAACUUGAGCGCACACACUCAUGCUGUGUCAUGAGAAUUUUCUAGUCCUAUCACUGAAUUCCUUUCUUAUAGCUUAUAGUAAAAUCAUUUCCAAAGGAGGAGAGGAGAAGAGAACAUUGCUGUUUUCUGUUCUAAUAUGAGCAUGUGAAUAAAUUAAAUGAUAUUUAUAUCUUUAUAGAAGGAGCUUCACAAUUUUAAAAAAUAAAAAAAGAUGAUCAGAAGAAAUGGAAGGAAAAGGUGUGGUAAGAGUAAAAUAUCUGAUAAGAAAUUAUUUGACUGAAAAUGAAUAGUAGAGGAAUAUUACAAAAUCUAUCCAUAUCACAGUUAAUCGAUUAAAUAAUAAAACACAUCACUUUAUUCUAGCAAGUUUUUUCAAUGCAAAAAAAAAAAAAGCCUAUGGCUUGGUAAUAAAAGUAACUGUAAACUGUCUUGCCCAUCAUACAUACUAUUGUUAAGUAUAGUUUUAUUCCUUCACUAUAUUAACUUCCCAAGAGCUCAUUAAAUGUUACUGAUAUUGAAAGCACGGUCAAUCAGGUGAAAUAAAAUAAAAUGGAAAAAAAUUAAAAAUAUCAGUAGAUCAAGUGUUUGUUGUAAAUAUCUUCUGCCUUGCUUAAACAUUGAACUAAUUUUUAAGUAUGCAUGCAGAGAAGUUGUAUAAUGCAUAACCUGAUAAAUAAAAC
This 2175-nucleotide long non-coding RNA is filed under the name Gallus gallus (chicken). The record is from RNAcentral. Lineage: Eukaryota; Metazoa; Chordata; Aves; Galliformes; Phasianidae.